This 226-nucleotide ribosomal RNA is filed under the name Staphylococcus aureus. Its description in RNAcentral is "partial 23S ribosomal RNA". It matches the Rfam family "Bacterial large subunit ribosomal RNA", at positions 2190 to 2415 of the family's 2925-position model. Lineage: Bacteria; Bacillati; Bacillota; Bacilli; Caryophanales; Staphylococcaceae. The record is from RNAcentral.
UGGUGGGAUACUACCCUAGCUGUGUUGGCUUUCUAACCCGCACCACUUAUCGUGGUGGGAGACAGUGUCAGGCGGGCAGUUUGACUGGGGCGGUCGCCCCCUAAAAGGUAACGGAGGCGCUCAAAGGGUCCCUCAGAAUGGUUGGAAAUCAUUCAUAGAGUGUAAAGGCAUAAGGGAGCUUGACUGCGAGACCUACAAGUCGAGCAGGGUCGAAAGACGGACUUAG